AUAGGGAAAGCAUGCAUGUAGACCCCAUCAAGGCUCCAUCCCUCUCCCCCUCACCCUGGCUGCUUCAUGUGACACAGAACAUUGCCACCCACCAAACCAAACAUCUUGUAAAAACAGACCAUGCUUGAUUCGGGCCUGCCAUGGGAAUGACGGUGGUGAGCCAGCCCUGCUGUUUACCAGCUGCAUGACCUUCUGCAGGGCAGUGAACGCUCGGGGACUUGGUCUCCUGACACAUGGACUGCAGCAGGGGUCAGAGGGGUGCCUCACCUCUGGCCCUUUCCUGUCUGUUAUUGUGUCAUUUGGGACCUGCUGCUGGCGCUGGGGAUUUCAGCUGCUGGAAAAACGCAGGUGGCGUUUCCUCGCACAGAGGCUGUGAAGGUGAGUCUGGGGCAUGUGCGUUCUUCUGCUGGACCUUCUCUGCCUUCUGGACCUUCAGUUUCCCCCGGACCCUGGAGUUUUACUUGGUGAAUUGCGCAAGAAUUCAGCAACACUUCAUCUCAUAAAGCUGAGUAAGGGCUCCGGUGACCUGAGAGGGAGAAGUUGGCCCUAUAGUUGGAGAGGAAACAAAUACAGAAUCCAGUUACCUCUGUGCAAGGAGGACUUCAAGGUGACCACCUGAAAGAGUGGGGAGCAGGACAGGCAAGGAGUUGAAGAAAAGACAUUGGAAAAGUUCAAAAUGGCAGUCAACCAUGGAACUGAACUGGUGGAAGUGAGAGAACAAGAGAAGAGGGGAGACGGAGGCUCCCCAAGGAGGACAGAGUUCUGUCCAGUCCAACAAUCAGGGCUUAAUCUUUCCGCUGCCUUGAUUUCGCUGACUUGGCAAGAACGUGAUGUUUUCCUGGCGCUGUUCCCUCCGGGGAAGCUCAGCCCUAAGAAAAGAAGACAUGAGGCCUUAAUGAACGGUGUGCACUGGCACUUCAAAGAACCUCGCAAGAAUGGAUGUGCUCAAGGCCCACGGGAGAGAUGAUGCCAGUGCCCGGACAAGCCUGCCCCAGGAUCUCAAGGUGUGCGGGCUCUCUGCCAGGAUGCCAGGAUUCUUCUCCUUUGCCCCUGACCAG
Molecule: long non-coding RNA, 1058 nt
Organism: Ochotona curzoniae (black-lipped pika)
Lineage: Eukaryota; Metazoa; Chordata; Mammalia; Lagomorpha; Ochotonidae
Exons: 5
Source: RefSeq, a predicted model, not a curated record